This 497-nucleotide ribosomal RNA is filed under the name uncultured bacterium. RNAcentral's name for it is "partial 16S ribosomal RNA". It matches the Rfam family "Bacterial small subunit ribosomal RNA", at positions 28 to 507 of the family's 1533-position model. The record is from RNAcentral.
GAUGAACGCUGGCGGCGUGCCUAAUACAUGCAAGUCGAGCGAACAGACGAGGAGCUUGCUCCUCUGACGUUAGCGGCGGACGGGUGAGUAACACGUGGAUAACCUACCUAUAAGACUGGGAUAACUUCGGGAAACCGGAGCUAAUACCGGAUAAUAUAUUGUACCGCAUGGUUCAAUAGUGAAAGACGGUUUUGCUGUCACUUAUAGAUGGAUCCCCGCCGCAUUAGCUAGUUGGUAAGGUAACGGCUUACCAAGGCGACGAUGCGUAGCCGACCUGAGAGGGUGAUCGGCCACACUGGAACUGAGACACGGUCCAGACUCCUACGGGAGGCAGCAGUAGGGAAUCUUCCGCAAUGGGCGAAAGCCUGACGGAGCAACGCCGCGUGAGUGAGGAAGGUCUUCGGAUCGUAAAACUCUGUUAUUAGGGAAGAACAAAUGUGUAAGUAACUAUGCACGUCUUGACGGUACCUAAUCAGAAAGCCACGGCUAACUACGUG